RNAcentral lists this ribosomal RNA (216 nucleotides) under Glomeromycotina sp. Its description in RNAcentral is "partial small subunit ribosomal RNA". The stretch from base 40 to 216 matches the Rfam family "Eukaryotic small subunit ribosomal RNA", at positions 686 to 864 of the family's 1831-position model. The record is from RNAcentral. Lineage: Eukaryota; Fungi; Glomeromycota.
GGGUCAGUGGGUUGGUCGUGCCACCGGUACGUACUGGUCUCACUGAUUCCUCCUUCCUGAAGAACCGUAAUGCCAUUAAUUUGGUGUUGCGGGGAAACAGGACUGUUACUUUGAAAAAAUUAGAGUGUAUAAAGCAAGCUAACGCUUGAAUACAUUAGCAUGGAAUAAUGAAAUAGGACGAUCGAUCCUAUUUUGUUGGUUUCUAGGAUUGACGUA